GACGAACGCUGGCGGCGUGCUUAACACAUGCAAGUCGAACGGAAAGGCCCUGCUUUUGUGGGGUGCUCGAAUGGCGAACGGGUGAGUAACACGUGAGUAACCUGCCCUUGACUUUGGGAUAACUUCAGGAAACUGGGGCUAAUACCGGAUAGGAGCUCCUGCUGCAUGGUGGGGGUUGGAAAGUUUCGGCGGUUGGGGAUGGACUCGCGGCUUAUCAGCUUGUUGGUGGGGUAGUGGCUUACCAAGGCUUUGACGGGUAGCCGGCCUGAGAGGGUGACCGGCCACAUUGGGACUGAGAUACGGCCCAGACUCCUACGGGAGGCAGCAGUGGGGAAUAUUGCACAAUGGGCGGAAGCCUGAUGCAGCAACGCCGCGUGCGGGAUGACGGCCUUCGGGUUGUAAACCGCUUUCGCCUGUGACGAAGCGUGAGUGACGGUAAUGGGUAAAGAAGCACCGGCUAACUACGUGCCAGCAGCCGCGGUGAUACGUAGGGUGCGAGCGUUGUCCGGAUUUAUUGGGCGUAAAGGGCUCGUAGGUGGUUGAUCGCGUCGGAAGUGUAAUCUUGGGGCUUAACCCUGAGCGUGCUUUCGAUACGGGUUGACUUGAGGAAGGUAGGGGAGAAUGGAAUUCCUGGUGGAGCGGUGGAAUGCGCAGAUAUCAGGAGGAACACCAGUGGCGAAGGCGGUUCUCUGGGCCUUUCCUGACGCUGAGGAGCGAAAGCGUGGGGAGCGAACAGGCUUAGAUACCCUGGUAGUCCACGCUGUAAACGGUGGGUACUAGGUGUGGGGUCCAUUCCACGGGUUCCGUGCCGUAGCUAACGCUUUAAGUACCCCGCCUGGGGAGUACGGCCGCAAGGCUAAAACUCAAAGGAAUUGACGGGGCCCCGCACAAGCGGCGGAGCAUGCGGAUUAAUUCGAUGCAACGCGUAGAACCUUACCUGGGUUUGACAUGGAUCGGGAGUGCUCAGAGAUGGGUGUGCCUCUUUUGGGGUCGGUUCACAGGUGGUGCAUGCCUGUCGUCAGCUCGUGUCGUGAGAUGUUGGGUUAAGUCCCGCAACGAGCGCAACCCUUGUUCACUGUUGCCAGCACGUUAUGGUGGGGACUCAGUGGAGACCGCCGGGGUCAACUCGGAGGAAGGUGGGGAUGACGUCGAGUCCUCAUGCCCCUUAUGUCCAGGGCUUCACGCAUGCUACAAUGGCUGGUACAGAGAGUGGCGAGCCUGUGAGGGUGAGCGAAUCUCGGAAAGCCGGUCUCAGUUCGGAUUGGGGUCUGCAACUCGACCUCAUGAAGUCGGAGUCGCUAGUAAUCGCAGAUCAGCAACGCUGCGGUGAAUACGUUCCCGGG
RNAcentral lists this ribosomal RNA (1343 nucleotides) under uncultured bacterium. Its description in RNAcentral is "16S ribosomal RNA". It matches the Rfam family "Bacterial small subunit ribosomal RNA", at positions 28 to 1378 of the family's 1533-position model. The record is from RNAcentral.